Molecule: transfer RNA, 88 nt
Filed under: Bacteroidota bacterium
Lineage: Bacteria; Pseudomonadati; Bacteroidota
Also listed under: 2 other names
Description: tRNA-Ser
Rfam family: tRNA
About the family: Transfer RNA (tRNA) molecules are approximately 80 nucleotides in length.
Source: RNAcentral
GGAGAGUUGCCGGAGUGGUCGAUCGGGGCAGACUCGAAAUCUGUUGAACCGCCUAGCGGUUCCGGGGGUUCGAAUCCCUCACUCUCCG